UCGUUAAUACCGCAUAACAUAAUUGAACCGCAUGAUUUGAUUAUCAAAGAUUUAUCGCUGAAAGAUGAGCUCGCGUCUGAUUAGCUAGUUGGUAAGGUAACGGCUUACCAAGGCGACGAUCAGUAGCCGGACUGAGAGGUUGAUCGGCCACAUUGGGACUGAGACACGGCCCAGACUCCUACGGGAGGCAGCAGUGGGGAAUAUUGCACAAUGGAGGAAACUCUGAUGCAGCGAUGCCGCGUGAGGGAAGAAGGUUUUAGGAUUGUAAACCUCUGUCUUCAGGGACGAAAAAAUGACGGUACCUGAGGAGGAAGCUCCGGCUAACUACGUGCCAGCAGCCGCGGUAAUACGUAGGGAGCGAGCGUUGUCCGGAAUUACUGGGUGUAAAGGGAGCGUAGGCGGGAUCGCAAGUCAGAUGUGAAAACUAUGGGCUUAACCCAUAAACUGCAUUUGAAACUGUGGUUCUUGAGUGAAGUAGA
Molecule: ribosomal RNA, 479 nt
Filed under: uncultured bacterium
Lineage: Bacteria
Description: bacterial SSU rRNA
Rfam family: Bacterial small subunit ribosomal RNA
Source: RNAcentral